UUAGUUUUCUCGUUUGAAUUGGUUUACAUUGUCUAAUUGGGGCCUUUUAUAGCUGACUACGUGUUAUGGGCUUUGCUCAUUGUUGAAGGCCGUACGGUGACCUAUAGUUGUUAAUGUCUGUGUCAUUUUGGUCUCUUGUGGACAGUUGUCUCAUCAUUGGCAAUCAUACCACAUCUUCUUUUUUAUUUGACAGUUUGUUAAUUGAGCAUAUAUAUCUGUUGCUUUAAUCGCUAUGAACAUGCAUGCAUGAAGCUAUCUUAAAUUACUGUUAUUGUUUAUUGCAGUUUCAGAUGGCAGUAUGCAAGUUACCUUGACACUAAAAACAUGAAACAGUUUCGUGUAUGAAAAUCAACCAUCAUGCAUGCCUGAGAAAAGUCAGGAAUAUUAUUUACUGUUGUUUUUAAACCGUUCCUUUGUUUGAACGAGUCGAGCGUUUGAUUGUGUCGAGUUGAAUUUACCUUCGGGUUAGGUAUUUUUAAAAAUAAACUCUGCUUUUUUUCAUGUAAUAUUUAAAAAAAAAACAUUUCAUACGUGCAAACACGUACUCUUCUAUUUGUAUUCAUAAUUAAU
Molecule: long non-coding RNA, 570 nt
Filed under: Mytilus galloprovincialis (Mediterranean mussel)
Lineage: Eukaryota; Metazoa; Mollusca; Bivalvia; Mytilida; Mytilidae
Source: RNAcentral